GACGAACGCUGGCGGCGUGCUUAACACAUGCAGGUCGAGCGGUAAGGCCCUUCGGGUACACGAGCGGCGAACGGGUGAGUAACACGUGGGUGACCUGCCUCUAGCUCUGGGAUAAGCCUGGGAAACUGGGUCUAAUACCGGAUAUGACUCCACGGCGCAUGUUGUGGGGUGGAAAGCCUUGUGCGGCUAGAGAUGGGCCCGCGGCCUAUCAGCUUGUUGGUGGGGUGAUGGCCUACCAAGGCGACGACGGGUAGCCGGCCUGAGAGGGCGACCGGCCACACUGGGACUGAGACACGGCCCAGACUCCUACGGGAGGCAGCAGUGGGGAAUCUUGCGCAAUGGGCGAAAGCCUGACGCAGCGACGCCGCGUGAGGGAUGACGG
This 382-nucleotide ribosomal RNA is filed under the name uncultured bacterium. RNAcentral's name for it is "bacterial SSU rRNA". It matches the Rfam family "Bacterial small subunit ribosomal RNA", at positions 28 to 414 of the family's 1533-position model. The record is from RNAcentral.